RNAcentral lists this ribosomal RNA (993 nucleotides) under fungal isolate from Newtonia buchananii wood. RNAcentral describes it as "eukaryotic LSU rRNA". The stretch from base 638 to 795 matches the Rfam family "5.8S ribosomal RNA". The record is from RNAcentral. Lineage: Eukaryota; Fungi.
GGGACAUUACUGAGUUAUCAAAAACUCCAACCCUUUGUGAACCUACCUACGUUUCCUCCGGCGUACCGCCUCGGCCUACCCACAGGGCUCCCCCAAGGGGGGGGCUCUGCUGGGGAGGUGCCUGAGUGCUACCUAUCCUUCGGGGUACGGUUAGUGCAGUGAAGGUGCCGACCAAGGCCUCGGCGGCGCCGAGUAGGACCGCUCCAAACUUAAGCACUUAGUGCAUCCAACCCCGCGUUGAACAACUAUCGAAAAUUUGCUUUUGCUUUUGCUCUGUUGCAUUUUUUCUUUACGCUAAAACGUCUUUCCCGGUUGGAAUUAUUGCUCGAGAUGCCCUAAAAGACUGAUCGUAGGCACUUGUAGGAUGCGUGAAAUGUGUGAAAUGUCCCUCUCGUAGUGCCAUUCCACUUCGCUCAAACGUGUUUCCCGGUUGGAAUUUUUGCUCGAAAUAAUAAUUUCUUACCCUGUAGUCGUUUGUUUCAAGCUCCAAUAUCUGCUCGAAUAUCACUGCUUCAAUAUUGCUCGAAAUUGUUCAAAGCUCUAGGGGUCUGAAUGAUUCAUAAAUUGGCAAAAGCCACCUAUAAACUACGGUUUUAGGGGGUGAUCAAACCAAGGUUUUAAAAACCAAAUACGUUAAAACUUUCAACAACGGGAUCUCUUGGUUCUGGCAUCGAUGAAGAACGCAAGCGAAAUGCGAUAAGUAAUGUGAAUUGCAGAAUUCAAGUGAAUCAUCGAAUCUUUGAACGCACAUUGCGCCCAUUAGUAUUCUAAGUGGGCAUGCCUAUUCGAGCGUCAUUACAACCCUUAAGCCUUGUAGCUUAGCGUUGGGAAUCUACCCCUCACUGAGGGGUAGUUCCUUAAAUUCAGUGGCGGAGUUAUUAGCACACUCUAAGCGUAGUAGUUUAACUCGCUUUCAGGGAGGCUGUAGCUGCUUGCCGUAAAAACCCCCUAUAACUUAUAGUGGUUGACCUCGGAUUAGGUAGGAAUACCCGC